Arachis duranensis is the source of this 2801-nucleotide long non-coding RNA. RefSeq lists it as uncharacterized. NCBI's taxonomy places the organism in Eukaryota, Viridiplantae, Streptophyta, Magnoliopsida, Fabales, Fabaceae. The transcript is spliced from 3 exons. The record is from RefSeq and is a predicted model, not a curated record.
CUUUCUUCACUUUCACUUAUUAUUCUCUCCAUUCUUGUUCUUGCUUUGAGAUUCAUUCACUAAUUAACAAACAAGAACAUGGAGUGGUUGGUGUCAAUGCCAAAGGUGGAGUUGCAUGCUCAUCUCAAUGGAUCUAUUAGAGACUCCACACUCCUGUAUGUAUAUGAAGAAAAUUUCAUGCCUUAAGCUGUUUAUCAUCAUCCUUUUAUUUUAUUUUUUUAUUAUUAUCUAUAUUCAUUUAUUUUGCAGAGAACUGACAAAGGCCUUAGGUGAAAAAGGUGUUAUAAAUUUCUCUCAAGUGGAGCAUAUUAUCAUGAAGUUUGAUGAACGUUGUGAUAUGGAACUUGAUGAGACGGAUCCAACUGUCUGGCAUUUGAAAAUCUCUCUGAGAGAUUGAUUCUGCCUUUCCAGCAUGAAGAGAAGCUUUUCGAGAAUAUAAGAUCUAAAGUAUCCAAGACUGGGGAAUCAAAUGAAGGUAUUGUGGUUGACUUGCUUUCUAUCAUGCGAGGUUUCACUAUUUGUACUGAUCUCUCGUUUCAGAAAUUAAGAUUCUUUUCACUUUUCUCGGCUGUUUGGUUAUCUUUGUUGAAGGUUUUGGAAGAUGAACAAGAAAUAAGUUCCUACAUAUUGUACAGAUCUGUCUUUCCAUCAUCUUGGUGUUUUAGAGAUUUAUAAUAGAAUCUAUGUUUUACUGCUUAAGAAGUUUGGUUAUAGUAUGAUUUUAUGAUAAUAUAUUACUAUCAAUGUGAGAUAUGGUCCGGUUUAUUUUACUCAAACCUUUCUUUAUGAUAAUAUAUGAUUCAUUGUUCAGGGAGGGUGCUAGUAUCCAUCUUGCUUUGGAACAUGCUCUCGCCUCGCAUAGGAGAUUACGGAUUUUUGUCAUAAGCAAAAACGGAAGCGGAAAAAAGAACACGCAGCACCAAUUGAUCUACCAACUGAAGGUAGCAACUCAGAAGUCGUCAUACCCCCUUACUCAUCUUAGCAUGCACCGAGGACGAUACAAACUUUUAAGUGUGGGGAGGUCGUCCGAACAGUCGGUGUUUUUGGGUGACAAAUUUCUAAUUCCAACACUUUUGCAUUUCAUUUUGUUUAGAUCUUUUAGGAUUCUUUGCUGCAUUUUCUUAUUUUGCAUAUAUAUAUAAUAAGUUUAGUUAAAAUAAUAAAAUUUUUCAAGAAAAACAUUCUUUAUAGGGAUUGACAUUCCAAUUGAUUUGAGUAAAAACUUUUCAUAGAACUUGCUUCAACUAUAUAUUGUGGAUCAUGUUUUUGAGCUAAAAACACAAGCUUGUGAGAUUUGAGCCUAAUUGCGUGGUUACAUCUUAUAACCACUUAUUUUCCUUCUUGUGUGCAUUAUUUUCUUCCUAUGAUUGUAAUAUUUGAUUUGUUUGAUUCUUUAUGUCCAUUAUUUUGUGUAUACAUACAUUUAUAUGAUUGAGGCCAUCAUUUUAUUAGCUCACUUAUCCAAAUAAGCCUACCUUUUAUCAACCUUUGUUAGCCAACUUUGACCUACGAUUAACCCACUUUGUUCUCUAAGUUAGCACAUUACAAGCCUUAAAGCAAAAAACAAUAAAUGUCCUUAAUUUGGAUCUUUGAUUAGCUUAGACUAGUGAGUGUAUAUAUCAUCCAAGUGUGGGAAAACAUGGGACAUUGGUUGAGGUAAAAGGGUGUUUUUGUAUUUUGAUGAAAAUAUUGGGAAUUGGAUACAUACCCAUGUAUUAAUUAAAUAUUUAGACCUUAUGUAUUAAUUAAAUGUUUAGAUCUUAUAUAUUGAUGUUUUUGUAUAUAGUUUAGUUUGAAAGAAAGAAAAAUGAGAAAAAUAAAAGAAAAAAAGAAAUAAGUGUAAAAAAAAAUAUAGAAAAAGAAAGAAAAAGAAAAGCAAAAAAAAAAGGGACAAAAUGCCCCAAAGUAAAGUUCAAUAAGAAUCAAUGCAUAUGGGUUGUGAUAAAAAAGAGAAUGCAUGAGUAUGUAAAAAAGUGAGGAUUAUGGGUAGUUAGGGUUAGCUUUGAAAUUGUAUAGGUUGUUAUAGGUUAGGUGGGAAGUUUAGAUUAAUCAAAGAUUCGAAUUCAAGCCCACUUGACCAUAUGCAUCCUACCUUGACCCUAACCCCAUUACAACCUUAUGAAUAAGACCUCAUGAUAUUUGUAUGCAUGCAUGAAAUAAUUGUCGAUUGUUAGAUAAAAAACAAAUCUUGGAAAGCAUGAUUAGGGGAGAAUUGAGUGAAUCAACUCCAUACACUUGAGUGACUAGAGCGGAUACACAUCCAGUGAAGAUUCGAUUGCUCAAAUACAUGUUUUCACCUAUGAUCAUCACUUUUCUUGCAAGUUUGUAAAAAUCUUUAAUAACUCAAUUCAAUUGUGGAUUUGAUUUAAUUGCUAUUACUUUAGCCCUUAUGCUUAUAUAUGUUCUCUUGGAAGUUAAUUUAUUUUGACCAAAUAGUUGCAUUCAUUUAGAUAGAUUGCAUGUAGAUAGAUUGCAUUUAAUUAGUUUGCAUUGAAUAAAUGUUGAUACCCUUUGAUUAUUUCUUGAUUCUAGCAUGACUAAGUGUGGGGAGUUUGAUAAACCCCAUUUUUAGAGUUUAUUUUGUGCUUGAUUUAGAAAAUUUUAUCAACUUUUCUCACAUUUAUUCAAUGAAAUGGCAUGGUUGAUAUAUUAUAAUAAUCAAUAUAUUUUUAUCCUCUCGUUUCUUUUUCUAGAAAAGCAAUUCAUUGGCAAAACAUAUGCUCAUGUCAAAAAUUUCUCCUGAAAAUUGUAUGAAUUUCAUCUUGUAAUGAAAAUUAAAGAAGUACUUGCUUGUUUUGUUG